GAUUACUUGCUCAAUCCGAAGAAGGUAUAUAACCAUUUUCUUUCUUAUUUGUAUCCUUGUUAACUUAGUAUUUGGAAAUUGGUUUGUUCUGCAACUAGAUAGAUCAAAUUGUUGGAGUAGAUUCUGUGGUGAGUGGAGAAAUUUUUGUAUUUCUAUUGGUUGCUAAUGAUGGGAAGUUUUACGUGGUAGCAAGCUUUAUGUUUGAAGUUUGGUUGUCUAGGAUUCCCUUUCCCUAUAACAUGGUUAAUAUUAGUGCAACAAAUUUGAUUUCCAUAUUGAUUGAUGGGUUUGUUCAAGAUAUUUGCUUUCAUUAUGUUGAUUUUUUAGGGGCACCACCGCCACAGCCAAGAAGCUUAACAAAUGGUGUAAAUGGACAUUACCAAGUUACCCUUCUCAAUUUAUGCUCUGUUUUUUUCUCCAAAAAAAAAAAAAAGGCUCUGUUUUAUUCAUUCAGCUUAUCAUCUGUUCAUUGUUCAUCUUCCCCUAUUAAUUUCUUAACCCUUCUCUAUUUCUUUCUCUCUCCUCACAACAUGUACCUCUGUUUUUUCUUCUUUUCAGAAUCAUUAGGUAUUUGCCUAAUUCUUUUCAAAGAAAGAUGAUGUGGACUAAAUUUAGAUCCAUUUUUUUGCAAGUUGAGUUAAAUAACUCAAUCUUGAGUCUUGAGUUUUGAUCAUCUAUUGGUGUAGUCAAGACCAAAAAGACAUAAAACAAGGUCAUUAGGAAAAGAGAAAUAAGUUUCAACUUUUGAUUAGUCAUCUUGAAUAAAUGAAAAUAUAAGAUGGUUAACGAAGAAUUGAUAAUUGACCUAGAAGUAUUACACAUUUUUUGGAUUUAACCCAAAAUUGUUUAUAGUAGAGAAAGAGAGUCCAUAUAGCCGACCCUAAAUUUU
Molecule: unclassified non-coding RNA, 889 nt
Filed under: Hevea brasiliensis (rubber tree)
Lineage: Eukaryota; Viridiplantae; Streptophyta; Magnoliopsida; Malpighiales; Euphorbiaceae
Source: RNAcentral